Molecule: ribosomal RNA, 1175 nt
Filed under: Escherichia coli
Lineage: Bacteria; Pseudomonadati; Pseudomonadota; Gammaproteobacteria; Enterobacterales; Enterobacteriaceae
Description: partial 23S ribosomal RNA
Rfam family: Bacterial large subunit ribosomal RNA
Source: RNAcentral
GGGUUGUGAGGUUAAGCGACUAAGCGUACACGGUGGAUGCCCUGGCAGUCAGAGGCGAUGAAGGACGUGCUAAUCUGCGAUAAGCGUCGGUAAGGUGAUAUGAACCGUUAUAACCGGCGAUUUCCGAAUGGGGAAACCCAGUGUGUUUCGACACACUAUCAUUAACUGAAUCCAUAGGUUAAUGAGGCGAACCGGGGGAACUGAAACAUCUAAGUACCCCGAGGAAAAGAAAUCAACCGAGAUUCCCCCAGUAGCGGCGAGCGAACGGGGAGCAGCCCAGAGCCUGAAUCAGUGUGUGUGUUAGUGGAAGCGUCUGGAAAGGCGCGCGAUACAGGGUGACAGCCCCGUACACAAAAAUGCACAUACUGUGAGCUCGAUGAGUAGGGCGGGACACGUGGUAUCCUGUCUGAAUAUGGGGGGACCAUCCUCCAAGGCUAAAUACUCCUGACUGACCGAUAGUGAACCAGUACCGUGAGGGAAAGGCGAAAAGAACCCCGGCGAGGGGAGUGAAAAAGAACCUGAAACCGUGUACGUACAAGCAGUGGGAGCACGCUUAGGCGUGUGACUGCGUACCUUUUGUAUAAUGGGUCAGCGACUUAUAUUCUGUAGCAAGGUUAACCGAAUAGGGGAGCCGAAGGGAAACCGAGUCUUAACUGGGCGUUAAGUUGCAGGGUAUAGACCCGAAACCCGGUGAUCUAGCCAUGGGCAGGUUGAAGGUUGGGUAACACUAACUGGAGGACCGAACCGACUAAUGUUGAAAAAUUAGCGGAUGACUUGUGGCUGGGGGUGAAAGGCCAAUCAAACCGGGAGAUAGCUGGUUCUCCCCGAAAGCUAUUUAGGUAGCGCCUCGUGAAUUCAUCUCCGGGGGUAGAGCACUGUUUCGGCAAGGGGGUCAUCCCGACUUACCAACCCGAUGCAAACUGCGAAUACCGGAGAAUGUUAUCACGGGAGACACACGGCGGGUGCUAACGUCCGUCGUGAAGAGGGAAACAACCCAGACCGCCAGCUAAGGUCCCAAAGUCAUGGUUAAGUGGGAAACGAUGUGGGAAGGCCCAGACAGCCAGGAUGUUGGCUUAGAAGCAGCCAUCAUUUAAAGAAAGCGUAAUAGCUCACUGGUCGAGUCGGCCUGCGCGGAAGAUGUAACGGGGCUAAACCAUGCACCGAAGCUGCGGCAG